RNAcentral lists this ribosomal RNA (253 nucleotides) under uncultured bacterium. RNAcentral's name for it is "partial 16S ribosomal RNA". It matches the Rfam family "Bacterial small subunit ribosomal RNA", at positions 524 to 776 of the family's 1533-position model. The record is from RNAcentral.
GACAGAGGGUGCAAGCGUUGUUCGGAAUUACUGGGCGUAAAGCGCAUGUAGGCGGUUUGGCAUGUCAGGUGUGAAAUCCCAUGGCUUAACCAUGGAAGUGCACUUGAAACUGCCAGACUAGAGUGCAGAAGAGGAAGGUGGAAUUCCUGGUGUAGAGGUGAAAUUCGUAGAUAUCAGGAGGAACACCCGUGGCGAAGGCGGCCUUCUGGUCUGUUACUGACGCUGAGAUGCGAAAGCGUGGGGAGCAAACAGG